UAGGGAAUAUUAGAAAUGGACGAAAGUCUGAUCUAGCAACACCGCGUGUGCGAUGAAGGCCUUCGGGUUGUAAAGCACUUUUUGGAAGGAUUAGGAAGGAAUGUACUUCCAGAAUAAGUCUCGGCUAACUACGUGCCAGCAGCCGCGGUAACACGUAGGAGGCGAACGUUAUCCGGAUUUACUGGGCGUAAAGCGCGUGUAGGUGGUUCUGUAAGUAGGGCGUGAAAGCUCCUGGCUCAACUGGGAGAGGCCGUUCUAAACUGCAGAGCUAGAGGAUGGUAGAGGGAGGUGGAAUUCCGGGUGUAGCGGUGGAAUGCGCAGAUAUCCGGAGGAACACCAGUGGCGAAGGCGGCCUCCUGGACCAUUCCUGACACUCAG
This 378-nucleotide ribosomal RNA is filed under the name uncultured bacterium. RNAcentral's name for it is "bacterial SSU rRNA". It matches the Rfam family "Bacterial small subunit ribosomal RNA", at positions 355 to 750 of the family's 1533-position model. The record is from RNAcentral.